Molecule: ribosomal RNA, 1563 nt
Filed under: Plecotus macrobullaris
Lineage: Eukaryota; Metazoa; Chordata; Mammalia; Chiroptera; Vespertilionidae
Description: 16S ribosomal RNA
Rfam family: Bacterial large subunit ribosomal RNA
Source: RNAcentral
AACCAGACACAGCCCACAAACUAAAUCUCACAAAACUAUCCUAAUUAAACUAAACCAAAACAUUUAUAAUAAUAAAAGUAUAGGUGAUAGAAAUUAUAUACGGCGCUAUAGAGAAAGUACCGCAAGGGAAAAAUGAAAGAGGACUAUAAGUAAAAAAUAGCAAAGCUUAACUCUUGUACCUUUUGCAUAAUGAUUCAACUAGAAAAUAUUAGCGAAAAGAAUUAUAGUUAAGUAACCCGAAACCAGACGAGCUACCUACUAGCAGCUUAAUAGAGCAAACUCAUCUAUGUUGCAAAAUAGUGAGAUGACUGUUAGGUAGAGGCAAUAAACCUACCGAGCCUGGUGAUAGCUGGUUAUCCAGAACAGAAUUUUAGUUCUAACUUAAACCUACCAAAAACAGACAAAUUAAAAUGUAGACUUAAGCAAUAGUCUAAAAGGGUACAGCCUUUCAGACGCGGGAUACAACCCCUAUUAGAGAGUNAAAAAAAAAAUAAAUCACAAUAGUUGGCCUAAAAGCAGCCACCAAACAAGACAGCGUUCAAGCUCAACAGUAUAUAAAACCAAUUCUACUUGUAAUAAUUAAUGCUCCUAAAUGCAAAACUGGAUUGCUCUAUUAUUAAAUAGAAGUAAUAAUGUUGAUAUGAGUAACAAGAAGCAUUUCUCCUUGCACACGUGUAUAUCAGAGCGAAUAAUUCACUGAUAGUUAUCGAAACAAAUAUGCCUAUUAACUUAAGCCUUUAUUAUAAAUCGUUAGCCCAACACAGGAGUGCGCCUAAGGAAAGAUUAAAAAAAGUAAAAGGAACUCGGCAAACACAAACCCCGCCUGUUUACCAAAAACAUCACCUCUAGCAUAAAAAGUAUUAGAGGCACUGCCUGCCCAGUGACUCUAGUUAAACGGCCGCGGUAUCCUGACCGUGCAAAGGUAGCAUAAUCAUUUGUUCUCUAAAUAGGGACUUGUAUGAAUGGCCUCACGAGGGUUUAACUGUCUCUUACUUUUAAUCAGUGAAAUUGACACUCCCGUGAAGAGGCGGGAAUUAAAAAAUAAGACGAGAAGACCCUAUGGAGCUUCAAUUAAUUAACUUAUAAGUUAUAAUACUAAUCUAAAAGAGACAAAUCAAACUUGACUGAGUUAACAAUUUGGGUUGGGGCGACCUCGGAAUAAAAAUCAACCUCCGAGACAGAUCUACUAAGACCUACAAGUCAAAGUUAUCUUACCACAUAUUGAUCCGCCAAUGACGAUCAACGAAACAAGUUACCCUAGGGAUAACAGCGCAAUCCUAUUUAAGAGUCCAUAUCGACAAUUAGGGUUUACGACCUCGAUGUUGGAUCAGGACAUCCCAAUGGUGCAGCAGCUAUUAAUGUGUUCGUUUGUUCAACGAUUAAAGUCCUACGUGAUCUGAGUUCAGACCGGAGCAAUCCAGGUCGGUUUCUAUCUAUUUAUAAGUCCCUCCUAGUACGAAAGGACAAGAGAGACAGGGCCCACUUAAAAUAAGCGCCCUAAUGACAAUGGAUGAACUAAUCUUAAUCCUAUAUACUCACAAACUGCCCAAGAAAUAGGGCCUA